GACGUCGAAUAUCGAAGUCAUCAACACCAAAGUUGAUCGUGUUUAUGACGUCGAAUAUCGACGUCAUAAACACCAACGUUAAUCGUGUUUAUGACGUCGAAUAUCGACGUC
Non-coding RNA from Paramuricea clavata, 111 nucleotides. The record is from the annotation of a GenBank genome assembly. NCBI's taxonomy places the organism in Eukaryota, Metazoa, Cnidaria, Anthozoa, Malacalcyonacea, Plexauridae.